UACAGGCUUAACACAUGCAAGUCGAGGGGCAGCAUGGUCUUAGCUUGCUAAGGCCGAUGGCGACCGGCGCACGGGUGAGUAACACGUAUCCAACCUGCCGUCUACUCUUGGACAGCCUUCUGAAAGGAAGAUUAAUACAAGAUGGCAUCAUGAGUCCGCAUGUUCACAUGAUUAAAGGUAUUCCGGUAGACGAUGGGGAUGCGUUCCAUUAGAUAGUAGGCGGGGUAACGGCCCACCUAGUCUUCGAUGGAUAGGGGUUCUGAGAGGAAGGUCCCCCACAUUGGAACUGAGACACGGUCCAAACUCCUACGGGAGGCAGCAGUGAGGAAUAUUGGUCAAUGGGCGAGAGCCUGAACCAGCCAAGUAGCGUGAAGGAUGACUGCCCUAUGGGUUGUAAACUUCUUUUAUAAAGGAAUAAAGUCGGGUAUGGAUACCCGUUUGCAUGUACUUUAUGAAUAAGGAUCGGCUAACUCCGUGCCAGCAGCCGCGGUAAUACGGAGGAUCCGAGCGUUAUCCGGAUUUAUUGGGUUUAAAGGGAGCGUAGAUGGAUGUUUAAGUCAGUUGUGAAAGUUUGCGGCUCAACCGUAAAAUUGCAGUUGAUACUGGAUAUCUUGAGUGCAGUUGAGGCAGGCGGAAUUCGUGGUGUAGCGGUGAAAUGCUUAGAUAUCACGAAGAACUCCGAUUGCGAAGGCAGCCUGCUAAGCUGCAACUGACAUUGAGGCUCGAAAGUGUGGGUAUCAAACAGGAUUAGAUACCCUGGUAGUCCACACGGUAAACGAUGAAUACUCGCUGUUUGCGAUAUACAGCAAGCGGCCAAGCGAAAGCGUUAAGUAUUCCACCUGGGGAGUACGCCGGCAACGGUGAAACUCAAAGGAAUUGACGGGGGCCCGCACAAGCGGAGGAACAUGUGGUUUAAUUCGAUGAUACGCGAGGAACCUUACCCGGGCUUAAAUUGCAGAUGAAUUACGGUGAAAGCCGUAAGCCGCAAGGCAUCUGUGAAGGUGCUGCAUGGUUGUCGUCAGCUCGUGCCGUGAGGUGUCGGCUUAAGUGCCAUAACGAGCGCAACCCUUGUUGUCAGUUACUAACAGGUUCCGCUGAGGACUCUGACAAGACUGCCAUCGUAAGAUGUGAGGAAGGUGGGGAUGACGUCAAAUCAGCACGGCCCUUACGUCCGGGGCUACACACGUGUUACAAUGGGGGGUACAGAGGGCCGCUACCACGCGAGUGGAUGCCAAUCCCCAAAACCUCUCUCAGUUCGGACUGGAGUCUGCAACCCGACUCCACGAAGCUGGAUUCGCUAGUAAUCGCGCAUCAGCCACGGCGCGGUGAAUACGUUCCCGGGCCUUGUACACACCGCCCGUCAAGCCAUGGGAGCCGGGGGUACCUGAAGUGCGUAACCGCGAGGAGCGCCCUAGGGUAAAACUGGUGACUGGGGCUAAG
This 1440-nucleotide ribosomal RNA is filed under the name uncultured organism. Its description in RNAcentral is "SSU rRNA". It matches the Rfam family "Bacterial small subunit ribosomal RNA". The record is from RNAcentral.